GGACAUGAGGGCGAUCUGGCUGCGACAUCUGUUACCCCAUUGAUCGCCAGGUUGAUUCAGCUGAUCUGGCUGUCUAGGUGGGUGUUCCCCUCUCUCUCCACUCCAUGUGCAUCCCUCCCGAAGCUGCACACCCGGUCGAAGCGGGCAACCUUCCCCAAUAGAAGAGGACCGUUCUUCGGUCAAGGGUAUAAGGGUAGCUGCGCUCUCCUACUAGAACCUCCAAACAAGCUCUCAAAACAUGGUAUUGGUCACCCACCCAUAUGCAAACAAACUUCAAGCUAAACCU
This 286-nucleotide small nuclear RNA is filed under the name Propithecus coquereli (Coquerel's sifaka). RNAcentral's name for it is "7SK RNA (ENSPCOG00000011537.1)". It matches the Rfam family "7SK RNA". From Rfam's summary of the family: 7SK was discovered as an abundant small nuclear RNA in the mid-70s but a possible function has only recently been suggested. The record is from Rfam by way of RNAcentral. Lineage: Eukaryota; Metazoa; Chordata; Mammalia; Primates; Indriidae.